Long non-coding RNA from Papaver somniferum (opium poppy), 889 nucleotides. RefSeq lists it as uncharacterized. The record is from RefSeq and is a predicted model, not a curated record. The transcript is spliced from 4 exons. Lineage: Eukaryota; Viridiplantae; Streptophyta; Magnoliopsida; Ranunculales; Papaveraceae.
CCUCUACCGACACAUUUCAGCCGCCGCAAUCACAAUGGAUUCCUCGAGAAUUAGUUUACGCAAGAAGAAGAAGAUCAAACCCAAAUCUGAUUUAGCUUUGUUGAUUGAAUCAUAGCAUGAUGAUAUCUCCUCUCAAUACUAAAGCUUUACCUAGCUACCUUGGCUCACAUUGAUGGGUCAUUCAUGAUUUAUUUCUGGGUCCGGUCAUGUCAUUUGUUUCUGGAAAAUGUUGAUGGAGGGUUCCCGUUAAUUUCCUUCAGUUCCAGUUCCGGUUCCAGUUCCAGUGAUGAGAUAACGAUUGAUGAAUUACGAUCUAUUUACAAGAUAGACAGAGACAUGUACAGAAAACUUGCAGUGAACAUGCGCAAGGAACCUUUAGUCUGUAUGGCUGUGAUGGCUCUCUGGCUCUUCAUGGAAGAGCUUGGAUAUCCCAAUGUUACUGUCAUCCCUAUGUUACUGUCAUAUCCGAGCGAUAUCAUUAAUUCAGCCUUUGAAGAAGAGAAAUUGUUAGUAUAUCAUAUAGUCACCAGGACUCCACCUCCUUCUUCAUUAAUUGAGUUGCCCAUAACGUUAAGAUUGAUACACGCUGUUUCACGAUGGAACAAUUCCGUAUAUCGAAAUCAUGAACAAAGUAAAAGAUCUCUCCUGUACUUUGUUUGAAGAUAUUUUCAGAGAAGCAUUGUCAGGGAACAACGUAUAUAGUCAGAGAUUAUUUGAUGAAAUUGGGGGCUCUUCUUCCUUGCGUAUAGUGGAGGAACCACAGGUAGUACGAGUUAGUACUCCACCGAGUGCACGAACUAUGUUCUCUACAGGAUUUCCAAUUACUGAAGAUCAAUUGCGAGAGUAGUUUGUCGGGAUGCAUGGGGGGACUGUAUAGAAAGAAUCGAUA